GAGCGGCGGACGGGUGAGUAACGCGUGGGUAACCUGCCUCAUACAGGGGGAUAACAGUUGGAAACGGCUGCUAAUACCGCAUAAGCGCACAGUACCGCAUGGUACGGUGUGAAAAACUCCGGUGGUAUGAGAUGGACCCGCGUCUGAUUAGGUAGUUGGUGGGGUAACGGCCUACCAAGCCGACGAUCAGUAGCCGACCUGAGAGGGUGACCGGCCACAUUGGGACUGAGACACGGCCCAAACUCCUACGGGAGGCAGCAGUGGGGAAUAUUGCACAAUGGGGGAAACCCUGACGCAGCGACGCCGCGUGAGCGAUGAAGUAUUUCGGUAUGUAAAGCUCUAUCAGCAGGGAAGAAAAUGACGGUACCUGACUAAGAAGCCCCGGCUAACUACGUGCCAGCAGCCGCGGUAAUACGUAGGGGGCAAGCGUUAUCCGGAUUUACUGGGUGUAAAGGGAGCGUAGACGGCAUGGCAAGCCAGAUGUGAAAGCCCGGGGCUCAACCCCGGGACUGCAUUUGGAACUGUCAGGCUAGAGUGUCGGAGAGGAAAGCGGAAUUCCUAGUGUAGCGGUGAAAUGCGUAGAUAUUAGGAGGAACACCAGUGGCGAAGGCGGCUUUCUGGACGAUGACUGA
Molecule: ribosomal RNA, 632 nt
Filed under: uncultured Lachnospiraceae bacterium
Lineage: Bacteria; Bacillati; Bacillota; Clostridia; Lachnospirales; Lachnospiraceae
Description: bacterial SSU rRNA
Rfam family: Bacterial small subunit ribosomal RNA
Source: RNAcentral